UAUACGCUUCUUGGAGGGCAAGUCUGGUGCCAGCAGCCGCGGUAAUUCCAGCUCCAAUAGCGUAUAUUAAAGUUGCUGCAGUUAAAAAGCUCGUAGUUGAAUUUCGGGACCAUCAUGUCGGUCGUGCCUCGGUACGUACUGGUAUUGUUGGUUUCUCCCUUCUGACGAACCAUGAUGUCAUUUAUUUGGUGUUGUGGGGAAUCUAGGACUGUUACUU
This 217-nucleotide ribosomal RNA is filed under the name uncultured Glomus. Its description in RNAcentral is "partial 18S ribosomal RNA". It matches the Rfam family "Eukaryotic small subunit ribosomal RNA", at positions 534 to 757 of the family's 1831-position model. The record is from RNAcentral. Lineage: Eukaryota; Fungi; Glomeromycota; Glomeromycetes; Glomerales; Glomeraceae.